CCUACGGGCGGCUGCAGUGGGGAAUAUUGGACAAUGGGCGCAAGCCUGAUCCAGCAAUACCGCGUGUGUGAAGAAGGCCUUAGGGUUGUAAAGCACUUUCAAUGGGGAGGAAAACCUACCGGUCAAUACCCGGUAGCUUGACAUUACCUGUAGAAGAAGCACCGGCUAACUCCGUGCCAGCAGCCGCGGUAAUACGGAGGGUGCAAGCGUUAAUCGGAAUUACGCGGCGUCGGUUGUGCAUGGCAGGUGCGAAAGCCCCGGGCUUAACCUGGGAACUGCAUUUGAAACUGGCGGACUAGAGUUGAGUAGAGGGGAGUGGAAUUUCAGGUGUAGCGGUGAAAUGCGUAGAUAUCUGAAGGAACACCAGUGGCGAAGGCGACUCCCUGGACUCAAACUGACGCUGAGGUACGAAAGCGUGGGUAGCAAACAGGAUUAGAUACCCGUGUAGUC
This 450-nucleotide ribosomal RNA is filed under the name uncultured bacterium. RNAcentral's name for it is "partial 16S ribosomal RNA". It matches the Rfam family "Bacterial small subunit ribosomal RNA", at positions 338 to 795 of the family's 1533-position model. The record is from RNAcentral.